UGAGGAAUAUUGGACAAUGGGAGCAAUCCUGAUCCAGCCAUGCCGCGUGCAGGAAGACGGUCCUAUGGAUUGUAAACUGCUUUUAUACAGGAAGAAAAAGCCCGACGUGUCGGGUGUUGACGGUACUGUAUGAAUAAGGAUCGGCUAACUCCGUGCCAGCAGCCGCGGUAAUACGGAGGAUCCGAGCGUUAUCCGGAAUUAUUGGGUUUAAAGGGUCCGUAGGCGGGAUAAUAAGUCAGUGGUGAAAGUUUGUGGCUCAACCAUAAAAUUGCCAUUGAUACUGUUAUUCUUGAGUUAUUGUGAAGUGGUUAGAAUGUGUAGUGUAGCGGUGAAAUGCAUAGAUAUUACACAGAAUACCAAUUGCGAAGGCAGAUCACUAACAAUUAACUGACGCUGAUGGACGAAAGCGUAGGUAGCGAACAGGAUUAGAUACCCUGGUAGUCUACGCAGUAAACGAUGGUUACUAGCUGUUCGGUCUAAUUGCGGGCUGAGUGGCUAAGCGAAAGUGACAAGUAACCCACCUGGGGAGUACGUUCGCAAGAAUG
This 545-nucleotide ribosomal RNA is filed under the name uncultured bacterium. Its description in RNAcentral is "bacterial SSU rRNA". It matches the Rfam family "Bacterial small subunit ribosomal RNA", at positions 355 to 896 of the family's 1533-position model. The record is from RNAcentral.